GAUGAACGCUGGCGGCGUGCCUAAUACAUGCAAGUCGAGCGAACAGACGAGGCGCUUGCUCCUCUGACGUUAGCGGCGGACGGGUGAGUAACACGUGGAUAACCUACCUAUAAGACUGGGAUAACUUCGGGAAACCGGCGCUAAUACCGGAUAAUAUAUUGAACCGCAUGGUUCAAUAGUGAAAGACGGUUUUGCUGUCACUUAUAGAUGGAUCCGCGCCGCAUUAGCUAGUUGGUAAGGUAACGGCUUACCAAGGCAACGAUGCGUAGCCGACCUGAGAGGGUGAUAGGCCACACUGGAAGUGAGACACGGUCCAGACUCCUAAGGGAGGCAGCAGUAGGGAAUCUUCCGCAAUGGGCGAAAGCCUGACGGAGCAACGCCGCGUGAGUGAUGAAGGUCUUCGGAUCGUAAAACUCUGUUAUUAGGGAAGAACAAAUGUGUAAGUAACUAUGCACGUCCUGACGGUACCUAAUCAGAAAGCAACGGCUAACUACGUG
RNAcentral lists this ribosomal RNA (497 nucleotides) under uncultured bacterium. RNAcentral describes it as "partial 16S ribosomal RNA". It matches the Rfam family "Bacterial small subunit ribosomal RNA", at positions 28 to 507 of the family's 1533-position model. The record is from RNAcentral.